This 136-nucleotide unclassified non-coding RNA is filed under the name uncultured fungus. Its description in RNAcentral is "sequence contains ITS1". Lineage: Eukaryota; Fungi. The record is from RNAcentral.
ACGAAGAAAAACGGGCGCGCCCCCGGUUUCGAUCGGGGGCCGCUUCGCUACCUCUUCCUCACCCUGUGCACCGUGACCUUUUUUUCGCGCCUUAGUCGAAGUCGGGGAUGUAGUGAAACGAUAAAAUGAAAGGCAU